Molecule: ribosomal RNA, 496 nt
Filed under: uncultured bacterium
Lineage: Bacteria
Description: partial 16S ribosomal RNA
Rfam family: Bacterial small subunit ribosomal RNA
Source: RNAcentral
GAUGAACGCUGGCGGCGUGCCUAAUACAUGCAAGUCGAGCGAACAGACGAGGAGCUUGCUCCUCUGACGUUAGCGGCGGACGGGUGAGUAACACGUGGAUAACCUACCUAUAAGACUGGGAUAACUUCGGGAAACCGGAGCUAAUACCGGAUAAUAUAUUGAACCGCAUGGUUCAAUAGUGAAAGACGGUUUUGCUGUCACUUAUAGAUGGAUCCGCGCCGCAUUAGCUAGUUGGUAAGGUAACGGCUUACCAAGGCAACGAUGCGUAGCCGACCUGAGAGGGUGAUCGGCCACACUGGAACUGAGACACGGUCCAGACUCCUACGGGAGGCAGCAGUAGGGAAUCUUCCGCAAGGGGCGAAAGCCUGACGGAGCAACGCCGCGUGAGUGAUGAAGGUCUUCGGAUCGUAAAACUCUGUUAUUAGGGAAGAACAAAUGUGUAAGUAACUAUGCACGUCUUGACGGUACCUAAGCAGAAAGCCACGGCUAACUACGU